UGCGCGGUAGUGAAAUCGGGAUCACACUGGUCUCAUAAGCCAGCAUUACGAGUUCGAGUCUCGUCUGCGCAAC
This 73-nucleotide transfer RNA is filed under the name Mycobacterium phage Reindeer. RNAcentral describes it as "tRNA-Met". It matches the Rfam family "tRNA". Rfam says of the family: Transfer RNA (tRNA) molecules are approximately 80 nucleotides in length. Their secondary structure includes four short double-helical elements and three loops (D, anti-codon, and T loops). The record is from RNAcentral. Lineage: Duplodnaviria; Heunggongvirae; Uroviricota; Caudoviricetes; Vilmaviridae.